Oreochromis aureus is the source of this 1410-nucleotide long non-coding RNA. The record is from Ensembl. NCBI's taxonomy places the organism in Eukaryota, Metazoa, Chordata, Actinopteri, Cichliformes, Cichlidae.
CAUUAUUCUUUACCACAUAUUAUGUAGCACACUCUGUAUAUCUAAAUAAUGGUAUGUUACAAGCUGUACUUAUAUUAUAUAUUUAUAUUUCUGCAAACAUAUCCUUCACUCAGUGCUCACCAUGCUGACUGACAUGUUUUUACUCUUUACUUUGCGUUUAAAGAUGAAAAGUUAGCCAGAAUUGAUCUUGUGCUUAUUUUGUUAUCCACAUAUCUGUAACUGGGCAUUUCUCUUUAAUACAGUAACACAGUUUUCUUAUUAACAUAAUCUGUCAGAUUCAAAACUUCUUUCAAAAUGAAUGAAGCUUGUUUCGCUCUCGUACUCUCAGUCCCUCAUGACAUAAUUCUGUUUUCUUUAAGCUAAAAAGCGGAAGAAGAACUUGUCACUUCCUUUUAUCCUCUCAGCAGAUGAAAGAAUAAAGAAAACUUCAAUAAGUCUUGAAACCAGCCUUUUUUUAAAAAUUUAUUUAUUUAUUUAAAACCCCUCUCAUUCGAGGCUUAUCACUGACACUUUGCUUCAGUUCAGAGCCGCUUACACGUUAUUCUGAAAGCUGCUGAGUGGAUCAACAGUGAGCAGACAUGGGAGCUGUAGUUGGAUUGUUUUUGAUGAUGUUUGGAGUCGUUCAUGGUGUGGAAAGUUACUGUGACGGCAGACCAGAUGGAGCUCAUUGUUAUGGAACUUUGGGAGGAACUUUGGACAUCAAACUGAUGGACAGCACCUCAGAGUUAGGCAGAUUCCAACUGUUAAAGAAUACAUCACUAAUACGAUAUUCGAGAAACAACAGUUCUAAACAUAAUACAACAGAUGAAAGAUUUCUCUUUUAUCUCAGUAAUGGAACGCUUAGGAUACAUAACCUGAGCAGUACAGACAGCGGUAAAUAUAACUUUUCGACCUUUAAGUUUGAUGGACAACAAUCAGCUGAGCGGACUUUCCAGAUUUUUAUUCAAGGUACUUCCUGGUUCAUACAUGGUUUGAAAGCAGUGGUGGUAAUUAUAUCAUUAAGUGGGAUUUGGAUCUAUUUCACUUGGAAGAAAAAAGCAAUAUUGGAAGGCUCUGCUGUCCCACAAAGGAUGGAAUCUCCAGAUAACUCUGUUUUAAUGACUGAAAUGAGUCCUUACUCCAACACUUAGUGUCACCUUUCACCUGCUGUAAAUUCACUGUGUGUCCUUACAGGUGUGCAGAUGAGGACUAGGGUGAUUUUUCUUCUUUUUCUUCCUUCUUUUGUCAUAUGUAGUGCACAAGGACACAUUUGUUUUCACCUUUUGGUGUGUUUGUGUUAGUUCACAAUGUGAUUUCAGUGUGUGAAUAAAGAGGUAACAAAAAUGUUUAUUUCUGGUUCUUAAAAGCAGGAACAGUCAAAGAAAAAAAAAAGACCAUGGAAAAGAGGAGAGCAAAAACUUUAGAGGAAAG